UUGCACAUGCAUAACCGUUGGAUUAAAAAAAAGAAAGGAUCUAAAGGUUUAGAAAGAAAGGAAAGAGGAAACAUAUGGACCGGUCCGGUUCAGAUGAACCAGACCGGUCUGCACAUGUUUAUAAAAGGCAUAGGGACCGGUUUUUUCUCAUUUUUCUCCUUCCUCCCUCUCUCUAAACAUUUCUAGUGAGAGAAGGUCUGCAAAUUGCAGCCUUCUUCUCCGGCGA
This 226-nucleotide long non-coding RNA is filed under the name Medicago truncatula (barrel medic). RNAcentral describes it as "long non-coding RNA (MTRU_LNC003527)". Lineage: Eukaryota; Viridiplantae; Streptophyta; Magnoliopsida; Fabales; Fabaceae. The record is from RNAcentral.